AACGAACGCUGGCGGCAUGCCUAACACAUGCAAGUCGAACGAGACCUUCGGGUCUAGUGGCGCACGGGUGCGUAACGCGUGGGAACCUGCCCUUAGGUUCGGAAUAACUCCCCGAAGGGGGUGCUAAUACCGGAUAAUGUCUUAGGACCAAAGAUUUAUCGCCUUUGGAUGGGCCCGCGUUGGAUUAGCGAGUUAGUAGGGUAAAAGCCUACCAAGGCGACGAUCCAUAGCUGGUCUGAGAGGAUGAUCAGCCACACUGGGACUGAGACACGGCCCAGACUCCUACGGGAGGCAGCAGUGGGGAAUAUUGGACAAUGGGCGAAAGCCUGAUCCAGCAAUGCCGCGUGAGUGAUGAAGGCCUUAGGGUUGUAAAGCUCUUUUACCCGGGAUGAUAAUGACAGUACCGGUAGAAUAAGCUCCGGCUAACUCCGU
This 432-nucleotide ribosomal RNA is filed under the name uncultured bacterium. RNAcentral's name for it is "partial 16S ribosomal RNA". It matches the Rfam family "Bacterial small subunit ribosomal RNA", at positions 29 to 506 of the family's 1533-position model. The record is from RNAcentral.